This 539-nucleotide ribosomal RNA is filed under the name uncultured bacterium. RNAcentral describes it as "bacterial SSU rRNA". It matches the Rfam family "Bacterial small subunit ribosomal RNA", at positions 356 to 896 of the family's 1533-position model. The record is from RNAcentral.
GAGGAACAUUGGUCAAUGGACGAGAGUCUGAACCAGCCAAGUAGCGUGCAGGAUGACGGCCCUAUGGGUUGUAAACUGCUUUUGUAUGGGGAUAAAGUCAAUCACGUGUGAUUGUUUGCAGGUACCAUACGAAUAAGGACCGGCUAAUUCCGUGCCAGCAGCCGCGGUAAUACGGAAGGUCCGGGCGUUAUCCGGAUUUAUUGGGUUUAAAGGGAGCGUAGGCCGGAGAUUAAGUGUGUUGUGAAAUGUAGACGCUCAACGUCUGACUUGCAGCGCAUACUGGUUUCCUUGAGUACGCACAACGUUGGCGGAAUUCGUCGUGUAGCGGUGAAAUGCUUAGAUAUGACGAAGAACUCCGAUUGCGAAGGCAGCUGACGGGAGCGCAACUGACGCUUAAGCUCGAAGGUGCGGGUAUCGAACAGGAUUAGAUACCCUGGUAGUCCGCACAGUAAACGAUGGAUGCCCGCUGUUGGUACCUGGUAUCAGCGGCUAAGCGAAAGCAUUAAGCAUCCCACCUGGGGAGUACGCCGGCAACGGUG